CACGUAGGGUGCGAGCGUUGUCCGGAAUUAUUGGGCGUAAAGAGCUCGUAGGCGGUGUGUCGCGUCGGCCGUGAAAACUUGCAGCUUAACUGUGGGCGUGCGGUCGAUACGGGCAUCACUGGAGUCCGGCAGGGGAGACUGGAAUUCCUGGUGUAGCGGUGAAAUGCGCAGAUAUCAGGAGGAACACCGGUGGCGAAGGCGGGUCUCUGGGCCGAUACUGACGCUGAGGAGCGAAAGCGUGGGGAGCGAACAGG
RNAcentral lists this ribosomal RNA (254 nucleotides) under uncultured bacterium. Its description in RNAcentral is "partial 16S ribosomal RNA". It matches the Rfam family "Bacterial small subunit ribosomal RNA", at positions 524 to 776 of the family's 1533-position model. The record is from RNAcentral.